GACGAACGCUGACGGCGUGCUUUAGACAUGCAAGUCGAACGUGAAAGCCCUUCGGGGUGAGUAGAGUGGCGAACGGGUGAGUAACACGUGGGUAACCUGCCCCUCGCAGGGGGGAGUAAACCGGGGGAAACCCCGGCUAAUAGCCCGUACGCUCGUUGGGCCGCAUGGCCCUUCGAGGAGAGGUAGCUUCGGCCAUCCGGCGAGGGAUGGGCCCGCGGUACAUUAGCUAGUUGGUGGGGUAACGGCUCACCAAGGCAACGANGUAUAGCUGGUCUGAGAGGAUGAUCAGCCACACUGGGACUGAGACACGGCCCAGACUCCUACGGGAGGCAGCAGUCGGGAAUCUUGCGCAAUGGGCGAAAGCCUGACGCAGCAACGCCGUGUGGGUGAUGAAGG
Molecule: ribosomal RNA, 396 nt
Filed under: uncultured bacterium
Lineage: Bacteria
Description: bacterial SSU rRNA
Rfam family: Bacterial small subunit ribosomal RNA
Source: RNAcentral